Molecule: non-coding RNA, 28 nt
Filed under: Homo sapiens (human)
Lineage: Eukaryota; Metazoa; Chordata; Mammalia; Primates; Hominidae
Source: RNAcentral
UGAUGCUGGCCUUGGUGAUGAUGGCAUC